UCCUGGCCUCAGAUUGAACGCUGGCGGCAUGCCUUACACAUGCAAGUCGAACGGUAACAGGUUAAGCUGACGAGUGGCGAACGGGUGAGUAAUGUAUCGGAACGUGCCCAGUCGUGGGGGAUAACUGCUCGAAAGAGCAGCUAAUACCGCAUACGACCUGAGGGUGAAAGCGGGGGAUCGCAAGACCUCGCGCGAUUGGAGCGGCCGAUAUCAGAUUAGGUAGUUGGUGAGGUAAAGGCUCACCAAGCCGACGAUCUGUAGCUGGUCUGAGAGGACGACCAGCCACACUGGGACUGAGACACGGCCCAGACUCCUACGGGAGGCAGCAGUGGGGAAUUUUGGACAAUGGGCGCAAGCCUGAUCCAGCCAUGCCGCGUGCGGGAAGAAGGCCUUCGGGUUGUAAACCGCUUUUGUCAGGGAAGAAAAGGUUCUGGCUAAUACCUGGGACUCAUGACGGUACCUGAAGAAUAAGCACCGGCUAACUACGUGCCAGCAGCCGCGGUAAUACGUAGGGUGCAAGCGUUAAUCGGAAUUACUGGGCGUAAAGCGUGCGCAGGCGGUUAUGCAAGACAGAGGUGAAAUCCCCGGGCUCAACCUGGGAACUGCCUUUGUGACUGCAUGGCUAGAGUACGGUAGAGGGGGAUGGAAUUCCGCGUGUAGCAGUGAAAUGCGUAGAUAUGCGGAGGACACCGAUGGCGAAGGCAAUCCCCUGGACCUGUACUGACGCUCAUGCACGAAAGCGUGGGGAGCAAACAGGAUUAGAUACCCUGGUAGUCCACGCCCUAAACGAUGUCACUGCUUGUUGGGAGGCUUUCUUCUCAGUAACGUAGCUUACGCGGUGAAGUUGACCGCCUGGGGGAGUACGGCGCAGGUUGAACUCAAAGGAUUGACGGGAUCCGCCCAAGCGGUGGGAUGAUUGGGUUUAUUCGAUGCACGCGAAAAACUUACUACUUUGACAUGUCUGAUUCUGGAAGAUUUAGCGAGGUCUCGAGAAAGUCGAAACACUUCUCAUGCCGUUCCGCCUGUUCUGGAGUGCGUUAGUUCGAGCAAGCCACCUGCUAAUUAGCCAAGGCACCCUAUGA
Molecule: ribosomal RNA, 1082 nt
Filed under: uncultured bacterium
Lineage: Bacteria
Description: bacterial SSU rRNA
Rfam family: Bacterial small subunit ribosomal RNA
Source: RNAcentral